RNAcentral lists this ribosomal RNA (253 nucleotides) under uncultured bacterium. Its description in RNAcentral is "partial 16S ribosomal RNA". It matches the Rfam family "Bacterial small subunit ribosomal RNA", at positions 524 to 776 of the family's 1533-position model. The record is from RNAcentral.
UACGAAGGGGGCUAGCGUUGCUCGGAAUCACUGGGCGUAAAGGGUGCGUAGGCGGGUCUUUAAGUCGGGGGUGAAAGCCCAGGGCUCAACCCUGGAAUUGCCUUCGAUACUGGAUAUCUUGAGUUCGGGAGAGGUGAGUGGAAUGCCGAGUGUAGAGGUGAAAUUCGUAGAUAUUCGGCGGAACACCAGUGGCGAAGGCGACUCACUGGCCCGAUACUGACGCUGAGGCGCGAAAGCGUGGGGAGCAAACAGG